UAGAGCCAUGAUAAGUUAACAUUGCCUGUGCUGAUUGCUUUUAAAAUCCAUCUGAAGUAUGCUUAUAGAGCUUUCCAGUGUGGAAAAUGCUUAGGGUUUUAAAUUAGAAGGUUUAAAUUUAGAAUUUCCACAAAAGAUAACUGUUUCUUAGUGAGAGAUGUUUGUCUUUUUAUAUCAAAUGUAAUUGGAAAUAUACCUUAACUGUCAUGAUAGAGCCAUAUGUAAACAAAUUUGAAGCAUUGUUAAAGUAUCCUUUUAAAAGUGUUACAGAUAUUCCUUGUUUGCCCGGUGAAGUUAUGCUAAGUCUGCACGAUUAUGGUAGUCCUAUGCUAAUUAUAGGAUCCUCUGCCUCCUUCCGUAAUAUCUAUAGAGGGUCAGAAUUUAGAUCUUGGCAGAUUAGCAUUUAAGCCUAUUUGCUUUUUUGUUUGAACAUGUUCUGUUGGGUUGAUGUUAGCAUCUACAUAAAUACAGACUAAAACAUUAAAGUAUGGCUGUAUGCUGUAUAGAAUUCUAAGUCAUUGAUUAUUUGGGUUUUAUUUAUAUAGCUAGGCAGUAGUUUUCAUAGGAGAAAAUGGAAACUAUGUCUGAGAGGCACCUACAGCUAUUCCAUAGUGGGAAAGGACACACAGGAAAUUUGAUGCUCAUUGAAAGUAGGGGAGCAGUUGGUUCUGAUUGCUGAGCUCAUGAAUGUUAGUAACUGUGUACAACUGAAAAUAUCCUCAGUUAUUCUCUAGUGUGGGUCAGCCAAUUUGUCUUCAUGGGUCUAAUGUAUACCUAGAGCACCUACAUGUAACUUCAGAUCUUUAAGGUAGACUAUUCAGAGGACAAUGACAAAGCACUAUACCAGUUUCCAAAAGCUGCAUCUUUAUAGUCAGAUAAGCUUCAUGAAAAGUAGCACUGUUCUCUCUUCCUCUUAUACAGUGAAAGUGAGGCAGGUGACUUCCAGGGAUGUCGGUUCCAGUAGAGUUUAGAAAAUUAGUCUACAUAGCUUUGUGAAAUUGAACAUUUCUAAGGGCAAACAGUUGGUAGAGGCAAGCUAUACUGCAGGUGAAAAACUCUUCCCACGCAUUGAAGAUCUCUGAAAGAGUGUUUCUGGAAAGUUCACUCAAUGUUUAAUGCAGUCAGUUGUUGAUACUAUAGACAUAACAGUUAUUUCACAAACUAUAGAAGUUAUCUAAUUGACAUAUUAAUAAGUUGUUAUUAUUCUGAUUGCUUCUUGGUUUUAUGGUGUUUUCUGGGUUUGUUUUGUUUUUGUUUGGGUUUGACUUUCUCAGAUAGGGCCUCUCUGUGUUGCCCAGGCUAGCCUUGAACUUUCAAUGUGGGUCAGACUGACCUUGAACUUGAAAGAAUCCUCCCACCUCUCCCUGCCAAGUGCUGUAAUGCCUGGCAUUUAGCUACCUGCUCAGCUUGUUUUAGUUUUGUGAAGCCUCCCUAUAUGUCCCAGGCUAGCCUGGAAUUUGAGAUCCUUUCCUUUGGUUUCCAGAGCACUAAGAUUUCUGGCAUAUGCUAACAUGACCAAGCUCUCUAUUAGUAUGAAAGAAUAUAGAGCUAGGUAAGAUAUGGUCUUCACUCCUGAAGAAUUUCCAGCCUGACAAAUACAUGCAGACUAACAUUUAGGAAAGAGUUAAUAACAAAUAAAGGAUUUAGCUAGAACCCUCACACAGCCUUCUAUAAAAGGACUAUUCUAUAGGAGCCAUCAAUAACAAGGCUUUGUGUGUGUUUCUCACUGCUGUGAACCAACAUUUUAAACAAAGGUUUUUGUGGGUUCAAAAUGGUAUAUGUUAGCUCUGCAUGAUGCUGUGUACCUGUAAUGCCAGCAUUUCAGAUGCUAAGGCAGGAACAUUUAGAGUGCAAGUAUGAGCUUCCUAUCAAGGUAUUAUAUUU
This 1884-nucleotide long non-coding RNA is filed under the name Mus musculus (house mouse). RNAcentral describes it as "predicted gene, 48302". The record is from RNAcentral. Lineage: Eukaryota; Metazoa; Chordata; Mammalia; Rodentia; Muridae.